GGAGGAAAAGAAACCAACAGGGAUUCCCUUAGUAACGGCGAGUGAACCGGGAAAAGCUCAAAUUUGAAAUCUGCCAACAGGCCGAGUUGUAAUUUGUAGAUGGCUACACUGCAUAAUAGUAGAUGCUCAAGUUCUUUGGAAAAAGACAUCAUGGAGGGUGACAAUCCCGUGAGGCAUGUUACUAGGAGCAUAUAGUGGGCUUUCUAAGAGUCGAGUUGUUUGGGAAUGCAGCUCAAAGUGCGUGGUGAAUACCAUGUAAAGCUAAAUAUGGACGAGAGACCGAUAGCGAACAAGUACUGUGAAGGAAAGAUGAAAAGCACUCCGAAAGGAGAGUGAAAUAGUACGUGAAAUUGUUAAAGUGGAAGGGCUUGAGAUCAGAAUUGGUAGUUUGGGUUCCACGUCCUCUUGGGGGCGUGUACUCCCUUUCCACCGGGCCAGCGGGAGUUUCGUCUCUUGGGUAAAAGCAGUGGAAUGUAGCAGCUUGUCUGUAUUAUAGCCUCUGUUCAUACAAGACGUCGAGACUUGAUUUGUUGGCGUAAUGAUCUCUAGCCACCCGUCUUGAACCACGGACC
This 572-nucleotide ribosomal RNA is filed under the name Wickerhamiella pararugosa. RNAcentral's name for it is "partial large subunit ribosomal RNA". It matches the Rfam family "Eukaryotic large subunit ribosomal RNA", at positions 52 to 667 of the family's 3401-position model. Lineage: Eukaryota; Fungi; Ascomycota; Dipodascomycetes; Dipodascales; Trichomonascaceae. The record is from RNAcentral.